Molecule: long non-coding RNA, 439 nt
Organism: Microtus ochrogaster (prairie vole)
Lineage: Eukaryota; Metazoa; Chordata; Mammalia; Rodentia; Cricetidae
Exons: 3
Source: RefSeq, a predicted model, not a curated record
AGCAUGGCCAGGAACACGCAAACAUGUCUCUUCGCUACGUGCCAACUCCACGGUACCGGAGAUUCAUGGAGGUCAAGGUCAUCAGGCUCCUGUAGCCCACUGACCUGGAGCAUCUGGCGCUGAGAGCUGGUCCCUGAUUAUCUACUGGUAGUAAACUGCGUCACUUCCGUGUUGCUGGUGGUAGUGGUUGCUGAGUGCCUAUCGACUUUGGUACAAAAGGAGCUGGAACUAGCAGAUGAAGACAGUGAGAUAGAUGGCAGAACCAAUGGCAGUCCCUGAGGUGACAUGCUGUGGGCUGCUCUCCUGGGAUCCGAAGCUGCCGAUCGUGACCGCCUGAGAACUGGGAGUCUGGGGAGUCAAGGUACCCUCUGAAACGCUGCUGACAGAGUAGCGAAAUAACGCUUCCAUUCAGGGCCACUGGUCCCCUGGUCACAUACGG